CGAAGUCGGACGGCGGUACCCGGGGAUUGGGGGCUUGGCCUUGAUUCGGUCAGCGGGCGGACGGGUGAGUAACGACGUGGCAACCUGCCCGCAAGACCGGGAGUAACUCCGGGAAACCGGAGCUAAUACCGGAUAACACCGAAGGCCGCAUGGUCUUCGGUUGAAAGGCGGCCUUUGGGCUGUCACUUGCGGAUGGGCCCGCGGCGCAUUAGCUAGUUGGUGAGGUAACGGCUCACCAAGGCGACGAUGCGUAGCCGGCCUGAGAGGGUGACCGGCCACACUGGGACUGAGACACGGCCCAGACUCCUACGGGAGGCAGCAGUAGGGAAUCUUCCGCAAUGGGCGAAAGCCUGACGGAGCGACGCCGCGUGAGCGAAGAAGGCCUUCGGGUCGUAAAGCUCUGUUGUGAGGGACGAAGGAGCGCCGUUCGAAGAGGGCGGCGCGGUGACGGUACCUCACGAGAAAGCCCCGGCUAACGACGUG
This 483-nucleotide ribosomal RNA is filed under the name uncultured Geobacillus sp. Its description in RNAcentral is "bacterial SSU rRNA". It matches the Rfam family "Bacterial small subunit ribosomal RNA", at positions 58 to 507 of the family's 1533-position model. The record is from RNAcentral. Lineage: Bacteria; Bacillati; Bacillota; Bacilli; Caryophanales; Anoxybacillaceae.